CAGCCGCCGCGGUAAUACGUAGGUGGCAAGCGUUGUCCGGAAUUAUUGGGCGUAAAGGGCUCGCAGGCGGUUUCUUAAGUCUGAUGUGAAAGCCCCCGGCUCAACCGGGGAGGGUCAUUGGAAACUGGGAAACUUGAGUGCAGAAGAGGAGAGUGGAAUUCCACGUGUAGCGGUGAAAUGCGUAGAGAUGUGGAGGAACACCAGUGGCGAAGGUGACUCUCUGGUCUGUAACUGACGCUGAGGAGCGAAAGCGUGGGGAGCGAACAGGAUUAGAUACCCCAGUAGUCCCUGUCUCUUAUAA
This 301-nucleotide ribosomal RNA is filed under the name uncultured bacterium. Its description in RNAcentral is "partial 16S ribosomal RNA". It matches the Rfam family "Bacterial small subunit ribosomal RNA", at positions 509 to 809 of the family's 1533-position model. The record is from RNAcentral.